GAUGAACGCUAGCUACAGGCUUAACACAUGCAAGUCGAGGGGCAGCGGUAUCGAAAGCUUGCUUUCGGUAGCCGGCGACCGGCGCACGGGUGAGUAACGCGUAUCGAACCUGCCUCAUACUCGGGAAUAGCCUUGCGAAAGUAAGAUUAAUGCCCGGUGUUUUCAGAGUCCCGCAUGAGGCUUUGAACAAAGAUUUAUCGGUAUGAGAUGGCGAUGCGUCCCAUUAGCUUGUUGGCGGGGUAACGGCCCACCAAGGCAUCGAUGGGUAGGGGUUCUGAGAGGAAGGUCCCCCACAUUGGAACUGAGACACGGUCCAAACUCCUACGGGAGGCAGCAGUGAGGAAUAUUGGUCAAUGGGCGGAAGCCUGAACCAGCCAAGUAGCGUGCAGGAAGACGGCCAUCCGGGUUGUAAACUGCUUUUAGUUGGGAAUAAAACGGGGCUCGUGAGCCCCCUUGCAUGUACCAUCAGAAAAAGGACCGGCUAAUUCCGUG
This 492-nucleotide ribosomal RNA is filed under the name uncultured bacterium. RNAcentral describes it as "partial 16S ribosomal RNA". It matches the Rfam family "Bacterial small subunit ribosomal RNA", at positions 28 to 507 of the family's 1533-position model. The record is from RNAcentral.